This 981-nucleotide small RNA is filed under the name Pan troglodytes (chimpanzee). Its description in RNAcentral is "retained intron". Lineage: Eukaryota; Metazoa; Chordata; Mammalia; Primates; Hominidae. The record is from RNAcentral.
GUGCGCAGGCGCGCCGACAGCCGAGUUUUCUGCGCUUCCUUCUCCCUCUCUCCAGACGUCGUGGUUGUUCGGUCCUAUGUCGCGCCGGGCCCUCCGGAGGCUGAGGGGGGAACAGCGCGGCCAGGAGCCCCUCGGGCCCGGCGCCCUGCAGUUCGAUCUCCGUGAUGACGAUGACGCGGAAGAAGAAGGGCCCAAGCGGGAGCUUGGUGUCCGGCGUCCCGGGGGCGCAGGGAAGGAGGGCGUCCGAGUCAACAACCGCUUCGAGCUGAUAAACAUUGACGAUCUUGAGGAUGACCCUGUGGUGAACGGGGAGAGGUCUGGCUGUGCGCUCACAGACGCUGCGGCACCAGGGAACAAAGGGAGGGGUCAGCGUGGAAACACAGAGAGCAAGACGGAUGGAGAUGUCACCGAGACAGCGCCCUCAGAGCAGGUGGGGGGCUGAGUGGUGAGGAGGUGGCAUCAGACGGGAGAGUUCCAAGGCACCCAGCCACGUGUAUCCUGUGCUGUGAUUUUCCUUGGAGGUGUAAUUUUCUGAGUUCCAUUUUGGUUACCUGCUAGUUGCCCCCAAAUUUACUUGGGAACCUUGAUGAGAUUUGCAUGAAAUGAGUGAAGGUCGCAGGCCUUUCUCCUGCAUCUCAGGAGAGUCUGCGCCUGCCCAGCAGUGUGUGUAACCGCACACGUGUGUUCUUCCUAGCUGACCGCGCGCGCGUGUCCCCCCUAGCCCGCCGCGCGCGCGUGUCCCCCCUAGCCGGCCGCGCGCGCGUGUCCCUCCUAACUGUGCCCCGAACGUUUGCUUGGCUGGGUUGUGGAUCUGGGUGCUGGUGUAAGUGAACUCUGAAGAAACACGCAGGUCAGGUUAACGUGGGAUGGGCAGAGAUGCAGACAGCCUGCUGCUGUGCUCCACAGCACAGAAGAGGGGCCCGAAAAGGAGAGCUUGUGUUCAUUUAUCCAACAAGUGUUCUUGGGAGCUUGCUGGGUGCU